GUGUCUGCAGCCGCGGUAAUACAGAGGGUGCGAGCGUUGUCCGGAAUUACUGGGCGUAAAGGGCGCGUAGGCGGCCUGAUAAGUAGGGGGUGAAAUCCCGUGGCUCAACCACGGAACUGCCUUCUAAACUGCCAGGCUUGAGCACGGUAGAGGCAGAUGGAAUUCCCGGUGUAGCGGUGGAAUGCGUAGAGAUCGGGAAGAACACCAGUGGCGAAGGCGGUCUGCUGGGCCGUUGCUGACGCUGAUGCGCGACAGCGUGGGGAGCAAACAGGAUUAGAUACCCUAGUAGUCC
Molecule: ribosomal RNA, 292 nt
Filed under: uncultured bacterium
Lineage: Bacteria
Description: partial 16S ribosomal RNA
Rfam family: Bacterial small subunit ribosomal RNA
Source: RNAcentral